RNAcentral lists this ribosomal RNA (207 nucleotides) under Klebsiella oxytoca. RNAcentral describes it as "partial 16S ribosomal RNA". It matches the Rfam family "Bacterial small subunit ribosomal RNA", at positions 1 to 216 of the family's 1533-position model. Lineage: Bacteria; Pseudomonadati; Pseudomonadota; Gammaproteobacteria; Enterobacterales; Enterobacteriaceae. The record is from RNAcentral.
AAAUUGAAGAGUUUGAUCAUGGCUCAGAUUGAACGCUGGCGGCAGGCCUAACACAUGCAAGUCGAACGGUAGCACAGAGAGCUUGCUCUCGGGUGACAAGUGGCGGACGGGUGAGUAAUGUCUGGGAAACUGCCCGAUGGAGGGGGAUAACUACUGGAAACGGUAGCUAAUACCGCAUAACGUCGCAAGACCAAAGAGGGGGACCUU